Molecule: ribosomal RNA, 515 nt
Filed under: uncultured microorganism
Description: bacterial SSU rRNA
Rfam family: Bacterial small subunit ribosomal RNA
Source: RNAcentral
GAGUUUGAUCGUGGCUCAGAUUGAACGCUGGCGGCAGGCUUAACAUAUGCAAGUCGAGCGGGGGAGAUUGCUUCGGUAAUUGACCUAGCGGCGAACGGGUGAGUAAUACUUAGGAAUCUGCCUAUUAAUGGGGGACAACAUCUCGAAAGGGAUGCUAAUACCGCAUACGCCCUACGGGGAAAGCAGGGGAUCACUUGCGACCUUGCGUUAAUAGAUGAGCCUAAGUCGGAUUAGCUAGUUGGUGGGGUAAAGGCCUACCAAGGCGACGAUCUGUAGCGGGUCUGAGAGGAUGAUCCGCCACACUGGGACUGAGACACGGCCCAGACUCCUACGGGAGGCAGCAGUGGGGAAUAUUGGACAAUGGGGGGAACCCUGAUCCAGCCAUGCCGCGUGUGUGAAGAAGGCCUUAUGGUUGUAAAGCACUUUAAGCGAGGAGGAGGCUCCUGUAGUUAAUACCUACAGAGAGUGGACGUUACUCGCAGAAUAAGCACCGGCUAACUCUGUGCCAGCAGCCG